RNAcentral lists this transfer RNA (92 nucleotides) under Candidatus Borkfalkia avistercoris. RNAcentral describes it as "tRNA-Ser". It matches the Rfam family "tRNA". From Rfam's summary of the family: Transfer RNA (tRNA) molecules are approximately 80 nucleotides in length. Their secondary structure includes four short double-helical elements and three loops (D, anti-codon, and T loops). Further hydrogen bonds mediate the characteristic L-shaped molecular structure. tRNAs have two regions of fundamental functional importance: the anti-codon, which is responsible for specific mRNA codon recognition, and the 3' end, to which the tRNAs corresponding amino acid is attached (by aminoacyl-tRNA synthetases). tRNAs cope with the degeneracy of the genetic code in two manners: having more than one tRNA (with a specific anti-codon) for a particular amino acid; and 'wobble' base-pairing, i.e. permitting non-standard base-pairing at the 3rd anti-codon position. The record is from RNAcentral. Lineage: Bacteria; Bacillati; Bacillota; Clostridia; Christensenellales; Christensenellaceae.
GCAGAGAUGGCGGAGUGGUCGAACGCGCACGACUCGAAAUCGUGUGUGCUCCCAUAAGAGCACCGAGGGUUCGAAUCCCUCUCUCUGCGCCA